This 448-nucleotide ribosomal RNA is filed under the name uncultured bacterium. RNAcentral describes it as "SSU rRNA". It matches the Rfam family "Bacterial small subunit ribosomal RNA", at positions 26 to 518 of the family's 1533-position model. The record is from RNAcentral.
AGAGCGAACGCUGGCGGCAGGCCUAACACAUGCAAGUCGAGCGCCCGUAGCAAUACGGGAGCGGCAGACGGGAUAGUAACACGUGGGAACGCGCCCUUCGGUUCGGAAUAACUCAGGGAAACUUGAGCUAAUACCGGAUACGCCCUUACGGGGAAAGAUUUAUUGCCGAAGGAACGGCCCGCGUCCGAUUAGCUAGUUGGUGAGGUAAUGGCUCACCAAGGCGACGAUCGGUAGCUGGUCUGAGAGGAUGACCAGCAUCACUGGGACUGAGACACGGCCCAGACUCCUACGGGAGGCAGCAGUGGGGAAUAUGGACAAUGGGCGCAAGCCUGAUCCAGCCAUGCCGCGUGGAUGAUGAAGGCCUUAGGGUUGUAAAAGUCCUUUUAACGGGGAAGAUAAUGACGGUACCCGUAGAAUAAGCCCCGGCUAACUUCGCGCCAGCAGCCGC